AAUUCGCCCUUGGGCGGUGUGUACAAGGCAUGCAAGUCGAGCGACGUGCCCUGUUACACUCUGAAAAUGUUUUUUGGAAAACCAAAAGUCAAAGCCGCGAGGCGCCUUACGGCUUUGUAUAUUGGUCAACCACUGAACGUCGGCAGAGUGUAAUAGGGUUACGAGCGGCAAACGGGUGAGUAACACAUUGGUAACCUACCUCCAAGUCAGGGAUAGCCCAUCGAAAGGUGGAUUAAUACCUGAUGGCAAUGCGGGGACGCAAGUCAUUCGCAUUUAAAGAUUUAUUGCUUGGAGAGGGGCCUAUGUCCUAUCAGCUAGUUGGUAAGGUAAUGGCUUACCAAGGCUAUGACGGGUAGCAGGCGUGAGAGCGUGACCUGCCUCACUGGGACUGAGACACUGCCCAGACUCCUACGGGAGGCUGCAGUCAAGAAUAUUCCACAAUGGACGAAAGUCUGAUGGAGCGACGCCGCGUGCAGGAAGACGCCCUUCGGGGUGUAAACUGCUUUUAUAGGGGAAGAAUUUGUGACGGUACCCUACGAAUAAGAGGUUGCUAACUCUGUGCCAGCAGCAGCGGUAAUACAGAGACCUCAAACGUUAUCCGGAUUCAUUGGGCGUAAAGCGUCCGCAGGUGGUUUAACAAGUCAAUAGUCAAAUCUCGGGGCUUAACUUCGGGACUGCUGUUGAGACUGUUAGACUUGAGACUGGGAGAGGCAAACGGAACUAUCGGUGUAGUCGUAAUAAGCGCUGAUAUCGAUAGGAACACCAAAGGCGAAGGCAGUUUGCUAGAACAGUUCUGACACUCAGGGACCAAAGCGUGGGUAGCGAAUAGGAUUAGAUACCCUAGUAGUCCACGCCCUAAACUAUGCGCACUAGGUAUUGGGAGUAUCGACCCUCUCAGUGCCGUUUAAAAAAGUUAACACGUUAAGUGCGCCGCCUGGGGAGUACGGCCGCAAGGUUAAAACUCAAAGGAAUAGACGGGGACCCGCACAAGCGGAGGAUCAUGUGGUUUAAUUCGACGGUACGCGGCGAACCUUACCUGGGCACAACUACUAGCUGCAAGCCCCUGGAAACAGGGGAUUCCUUCGAGGGUGCUAGAUAGGUGCUGCAUGGUUGCCGUCAGCUCGUGCCGUGAGGUGUACAGUUAAGUCUGGUAACGAGCGCACCCUCAUUCUGUGUUAAAUGUACACAGAGGACUGCCCCGUAUAACGGGGAGGAAGGUGAGGACGACGUCAAAUCAGCAUGGCUCUUACGUCCAGGGCCACACACAUGUUACAAUGGUCGGUACAAAGGGAAGCGAAGCCGCGAGGCGGAGCAAAUCCCAUCAAAGCCGACCUCAGUUCGGAUUGAAGGCUGCAACUCGCCUUCAUGAAGCCGGAAUCGCUAGUAAACGCGUAUCAGCUACGGCGCGUUGAAUACGUUACUCGGGCCUUGUACACUCCGCCCAAGGGCGAAUUCCAGCAC
Molecule: ribosomal RNA, 1461 nt
Filed under: uncultured Parcubacteria group bacterium
Lineage: Bacteria
Description: bacterial SSU rRNA
Rfam family: Bacterial small subunit ribosomal RNA
Source: RNAcentral